UGACAUAGUUAAAUGGCCGCGGUACCCUGACCGUGCUAAGGUAGCAUAAUCAUUUGCCUCUUAAUUGGUGGCUAGUAUGAAUGGACACACGCAAGCAUCGCUGUCUCACUAAUAUAAAUAAAAACUAACCUUUAGGUGAAGAGGCCUAAAUAAAAUAAAAAGACAAAAAGACCCUAUGGAGCUUUAUUUUUCCUCCUUUAACGUACAAUAUAUUAAAAUACCUUCCAGGACUAACAAAUUUAGUUGGGGCGACUUAGGAAAACAAUAAAUCUUCCUAGUUUAACAAGAAAAUAAUUCAUCCAACGAUCCGCCAUGCGAAUACAGAUCCAGCUACCCUAGGGAUAACAGGCUAAUUCUUCUCGAGAGCCCGAAUUGACAGAAGAGAUUG
Molecule: ribosomal RNA, 388 nt
Filed under: Laonice sp. A RG-2014
Lineage: Eukaryota; Metazoa; Annelida; Polychaeta; Spionida; Spionidae
Description: partial 16S ribosomal RNA
Rfam family: Bacterial large subunit ribosomal RNA
Source: RNAcentral